GCAGUCGUACGAGAAAGUCGCCUUCGGGUGAUGAGUACAGUGGCGCACGGGUGAGUAUCACGUGGGUAAUCUACCCCCAGGUUCGGGACAACUCCGGGAAACUGGAGCUAAUACCGGAUAAGCCCCCAGGGUCUUCGGACCCAGUGGGAAAAGGUGGCCUCUUCUUGAAAGCUGCCGCCUGCUGAUGAGCCCGCGUCCCAUUAGCUUGUUGGUGAGGUAACGGCUCACCAAGGCUUCGAUGGGUAGCUGGUCUGAGAGGAUGAUCAGCCACACUGGAACUGAGACACGGUCCAGACUCCUACGGGAGGCAGCAGUCGGGAAUCUUGGGCAAUGGGCGCAAGCCUGACCCAGCAACUCCGCGUGAGGGAUGAAGGCCCUCGGGUCGUAAACCUCUGUCGGGAGGGAAGAAAGCCGUGUGGUUAAUAGCUACACGGUCUGACGGUACCUCCAAAGGAAGCGCCGGCUAACUCCGUGCCAGCAGCCGCGGUAAUACGGAGGGCGCGAGCGUUGUUCGGAAUCAUUGGGCGUAAAGCGGGUGUAGGCGGCUUGAUAAGUUGGGUGUGAAAGCCCUGGGCCCAACCCAGGAAAUGCACUCGAAACUGUCUCGCUAGAGUCCCGGAGAGGGUGGCGGAAUUCCCGGUGUAGAGGUGAAAUUCGUAGAUAUCGGGAGGAACACCAGUGGCGAAGGCGGCCACCUGGACGGUGACUGACGCUCAGACCCGAAA
RNAcentral lists this ribosomal RNA (725 nucleotides) under uncultured Pseudomonadota bacterium. Its description in RNAcentral is "bacterial SSU rRNA". It matches the Rfam family "Bacterial small subunit ribosomal RNA", at positions 57 to 758 of the family's 1533-position model. The record is from RNAcentral. Lineage: Bacteria; Pseudomonadati; Pseudomonadota.